CCUACGGGAGGCAGCAGUAGGGAAUUUUGGACAAUGGGCGAAAGUCUGAUCCAGCCAUUCCGCGUGCAGGAUGAAGGCCCUCGGGUUGUAAGCUGCUUUUGUACGGAACGAAAAGGUUUGUCUUAAUACGAUGAGCUCAUGACGGUACCA
This 150-nucleotide ribosomal RNA is filed under the name uncultured bacterium. RNAcentral describes it as "partial 16S ribosomal RNA". It matches the Rfam family "Bacterial small subunit ribosomal RNA", at positions 338 to 480 of the family's 1533-position model. The record is from RNAcentral.